This 439-nucleotide ribosomal RNA is filed under the name uncultured bacterium. Its description in RNAcentral is "partial 16S ribosomal RNA". It matches the Rfam family "Bacterial small subunit ribosomal RNA", at positions 338 to 795 of the family's 1533-position model. The record is from RNAcentral.
CCUACGGGAGGCAGCAGUGGGGGAUAUUGCACAAUGGGGGGAACCCUGAUGCAGCGACGCCGCGUGGGUGAAGAAGCGCCUCGGCGCGUAAAGCCCUGUCAGCUGGGAAGAAAAUGACGGUACCUGAAGAAGAAGCCCCGGCUAACUACGUGCCAGCAGCCGCGGUAAUACGUAGGGGGCAAGCGUUAUCCGGAUUUACUGGGGGUAAGGGGGGCGCAGACGGCGAUGCAAGCCAGGAGUGAAAGCCCGGGGCCCAACCCCGGGACUGCUCUUGGAACUGCGUGGCUGGAGUGCAGGAGGGGCAGGCGGAAUGCCUGGUGUAGCGGUGAAAUGCGUAGAUAUCAGGAGGAACAACGGUGGCGAAGGCGGUCUGCUGGACUGCAACUGACGUUGAGGCCCGAAAGCGUGGGGAGCAAACAGGAUUGAUACCCUGGUAGUC